RNAcentral lists this ribosomal RNA (360 nucleotides) under Nematoda environmental sample. RNAcentral describes it as "SSU rRNA". It matches the Rfam family "Eukaryotic small subunit ribosomal RNA", at positions 58 to 414 of the family's 1831-position model. The record is from RNAcentral. Lineage: Eukaryota; Metazoa; Nematoda.
UCUAAGCACAUGCCUUAAUACGGUGAAGCCGCGAAUAGCUCAUUACAACAGCCAUCGUUUACUAGAAUAUCGUUAUCCUACUUGGAUAACUGUGGCAAUUCUAGAGCUAAUACAUGCAUCAAAGCUCUGACCGCAAGGGAAGAGCGCAUUUAUUAGAAUAAAAACCAAUCGGGUCUCGGCCCGUUCUUUGGUGAAUCUGAAUAACUUUGCCAAUCGCACAGUCCUAGUACUGGCGAUGUAUCUUUCAAGUGUCUGCCUUAUCAACUUUCGAUGGUAGGUUAUACGCCUACCAUGGUAGUAACGGGUAACGGAGAAUAAGGGUUCGACUCCGGAGAGGGAGCCUGAGAAACGGCUACCACA